CGCUGGGCAAUCGCAGUGCAAAUUUUCUAACGCUAUAAAAUUUUCUUACUUUCCAGAUUUACCCUUCCACCUUAUCCGCUCCUCGCUCGCACCGCUCGCUCGUUCUCCGUCGCUGCAGCACUCACUCGCUCGCCCCUUCCCUCGUCGCCUCUCCCUCUCCUCUCCGUGACCGGCCACUCCCUUCCCUCGUCGCCGCCUUCCCCCUCUCCUCGUCGCCGCCUUCCCCCUCUCCUCGUCGCCGGCCUCUUCCUCUUCCCGUCGCCGGCCUCUUCCACCGCCCCUUUCUCCCCACCACCCCGCCUUCACUCACACACCCCGUAGGUUUAAAAAAUUGAUUCUUUUUGCGUCGGCGACGAGCUUCUCUGCGACGGAGGCGUGGAUGUGUAGGGGCGCCAAAGCUGGAUAUGGGCUACGGGGGCGUGGAUGUGGAUGUGGAGCGGCGGCGGAGCGGCGCCGGAGCAGUGGAACAGCGGAGCGGCGCGGGAGGCCGAGGCGGGUAGGCGCCACCGGUGGCGGGACAAGCAGCUGGAGCAGGAGGGCGACGCCUACGACCGCUGCAGCGAGGUCUGCGCACUCAGUCUCUGAGUCCCUGCUGCGGCGAGUUCUACGUACGCCAAGACCUUCUACGGUGAGCCCCUUACUUACUCGGUACAGAGGGAGUACAUGUGAUCUGGAUAAUGAAAAUCAUUCUCAUAUAUAGAUUAGGAGGAGAUGGGACUGAUGUAAGAGUGUGUUUGUUUAGACCUGUAUACUUACAAGGAGGUUGAUUUCAGAAUUCAUAUGUUUAUUGUAAGAAGCACAUUCUCAUGUAUAGAUAUAGGAGGAUAUGGGUCGAUUUCGGAAUUUCUUAUGUUUAUUGUAAGAAGCACAUUCUUAGAUUUAUGGUUAGAUUCUCAGUUAUAAAGAAAUUUACAUCUUAUAGUAAAUGAUAUUUGUUCAGUUGAUAACCAGAUUCAAGGAAAAUUAGUACAAGUUUUCUUUUAAUGUACUUUUAUUGAUCCUUUGCUGGUAGUCUGCACCCACUGCCUCAAUACUAUUAGUACAGAUUGAUUGGUUAAUUUAUACAAGGAAUGAAUGUCUUUGCACAGUGCUGAUGUUAUUCGAUUGAUUUGCUACAUGUGGGAGUCAUGCCAUAUUUUUCAUUCAAAAAUGUAUUUAGUAGUUCUAGAAAUUGAGACAAAGGUGAAAAUUGCUGCCUGGUAUGAGAACUAUGCAGCUAUUUAAUUCAAGUUUUUAAUCUCGAUGUCUUGCAAAAUUGCUGAGCGGCUGGCGAAGCGAAGGAAGUUCGCCGUUCCCGGUCCGUGGCACUGCCAACAUCAAUAUUGGAACUGUUCUACAUGAGAUUUAUUUGUAUAUAUCUUCUACUCACAAUUAUGGGCCACUGGUCACUAGCAGUUUGAGGGUAUGUGGAGCGCACUCCUUUGUAUACUUCUUUCCCUGGGAAGUGAAGAUUUAUGUCUUUUAAUGUCA
Molecule: long non-coding RNA, 1470 nt
Organism: Triticum aestivum (bread wheat)
Lineage: Eukaryota; Viridiplantae; Streptophyta; Magnoliopsida; Poales; Poaceae
Exons: 2
Source: RefSeq, a predicted model, not a curated record